CGGUAACAGGAARCAGCUUGCUGYUUYGCUGACGAGUGGCGGACGGGUGAGUAAUGUCUGGGAAACUGCCUGAUGGAGGGGGAUAACUACUGGAAACGGUAGCUAAUACCGCAUAACGUCGCAAGACCAAAGAGGGGGACCUUCGGGCCUCUUGCCAUCGGAUGUGCCCAGAUGGGAUUAGCUWGUWGGUGGGGUAACGGCUCACCWAGGCGACGAUCCCUAGCUGGUCUGAGAGGAUGACCAGCCACACUGGAACUGAGACACGGUCCAGACUCCUACGGGAGGCAGCAGUGGGGAAUAUUGCACAAUGGGCGCAAGCCUGAUGCAGCCAUGCCGCGUGUAUGAAGAAGGCCUUCGGGUUGUAAAGUACUUUCAGCGGGGAGGAAGGGAGUAAAGUUAAUACCUUUGCUCAUUGACGUUACCCGCAGAAGAAGCACCGGCUAACUCCGUGCCAGCAGCCGCGGUAAUACGGAGGGUGCAAGCGUUAAUCGGAAUUACUGGGCGUAAAG
Molecule: ribosomal RNA, 509 nt
Filed under: Escherichia coli
Lineage: Bacteria; Pseudomonadati; Pseudomonadota; Gammaproteobacteria; Enterobacterales; Enterobacteriaceae
Description: bacterial SSU rRNA
Source: RNAcentral